GCAAGCUCAAGGUCAAGCCAUUCCUAUCACCGAUCCUAGUGGUACAGAUAAGGCGGCUAGCCUUCGAACACAGGAUUUUCUUAAGAUGGAUCCUCCCACUUUUACUGGAUCAGAUCUUAACGAGGACCCAUAGGACUUUAUUGAUCAAAUUCAAAGGGCCUUAGAUGUUAUGCAUGUAACGGGUAGAGAGACAGUGGAGU
RNAcentral lists this long non-coding RNA (200 nucleotides) under Capsicum annuum. Its description in RNAcentral is "long non-coding RNA (CANN_LNC022063)". The record is from RNAcentral. Lineage: Eukaryota; Viridiplantae; Streptophyta; Magnoliopsida; Solanales; Solanaceae.